UUAAAAGCUAUGAUGAGAAGAGUAAGCUUUUUUAAUAUUUUUCCAGAGAGAAAAUACAUUGGUGUGAGUAUUUUUAAAUAUAAUUAGCUGAAAACCACCUCUGAGCGACUUUAAUACAGUACGUUUAAAUCACGUUACGAUUUAUUAAGUGGCAAAAUAAUUUUGCAAUUUGGGUGGAACCACGGGAAUAUACACUCUCGUCCCUUUU
Molecule: non-coding RNA, 208 nt
Filed under: Sarcina ventriculi
Lineage: Bacteria; Bacillati; Bacillota; Clostridia; Eubacteriales; Clostridiaceae
Description: Clostridium ventriculi T-box sequence
Rfam family: T-box leader
About the family: Uncharged tRNA acts as the effector for transcription antitermination of genes in the T-box leader family. T-boxes are found upstream of many aminoacyl-tRNA synthetase genes and some amino acid biosynthetic genes usually in Gram-positive bacteria.
Source: RNAcentral